CGAGUUACAAGCUCUGGUCAUGGCAAUGCAAAAUUGUUGGAGCAAAGGCCAUAAGAAGGUUUAUUUUGAGGGAGAUAACAAAGAGGUAGCCGAUACAAUCAAUGACAGGAAUCCAAACUUUGCGGUUUUUAAUUGGCUAAGAGAGGUUGUGGCUUGGAAAACAAGAUUUGAGGAUUGUCGCUUCACAUGGGUUCGACGAAAUUCCAACAUGGCAGCAGACACAUUAGCUAAACAUGCACUACCUUCACAUACUUCUUAUCAUUUUUCUAGUUUUACUCCUCAUGUAAUUACAGACAUACUCCAUCGAGACUUUGUCUCUGCAGUUCAAUAAUAAGAUUGAUGUUGAUGAAAAAA
RNAcentral lists this small RNA (354 nucleotides) under Arabidopsis thaliana (thale cress). Its description in RNAcentral is "ATSL086970". Lineage: Eukaryota; Viridiplantae; Streptophyta; Magnoliopsida; Brassicales; Brassicaceae. The record is from RNAcentral.